UAGGUUUCUCUGGUUCACAAACAAGGUGGAUAGGCCGCAGUUAUAAAAUUGGCAGAUCACAGGCUACUAGACGGUUCCAUUGGCAAUGUAAAGAUGGAAGUAACCAAGGAUGGACUGUGUCUCGAAAAGAAGCAAGAAAAGCGGGAAGAAAUGGUUGUAGCUAGAAACGGCGGGAGGAAACGGCUUCUCGCAAUUAGAAAGCCAGCUUAUUAAUUGCAAAGAUUAUUAAUGUUUAAUUAAUAUCUUGAUUUCUUUUCUUUUGGAAAAAUAUAUUCCACGCACGGACAGAUCAAUAAUAAAAAUGUAAUGGGAAUAGAACUUCGCUCGGAUUAAAUUAAACUAAAAGUUCUAGUAGAAUAAUCCAGUGAUAACUUAUAUAAAGAAUAAUAUGAGUAUUAACGAAUCGAAAUUCGUCCCCUGGAAUGAAGAAAGGGCCUUUAAGAUGGAACUUAGACUUGGUUCAAGUUCAUCUCUCAAUGGAUGGAAAAAGUGAGCCAUAUAUUGCUUUAUUUUGCUCACAUGAUAAUACCGGAUACCUAGUGAAGUAUAUUGAUCAAUUCCUAGGAUGUACCGGGAUCAAAAUUAAUUCACCUCGCUUUAAGUAGUGAUUUAUUCGUACGAGAUGUCAUUCCGAAUCCUCCAAUUCAGACUGGCCUGACUAGAUUUCAAGUUCUUGUAUUUUGACCCAGUUCUAGACUUCGGAGGCCUCGGACUGGAUCCAAUUGCGCGGACUUGAAAUCUAGAUCUCAAACUCAUUAGUAAUUAAUCAGUAAAUUAGCCAACCAUAUUGCUUUAUUAAUUUUGCUCACAUGAUAAUACUGGAUCGAUACCUGGUGAAGUAUACUGAUCCAUUCCUGGGACUAGAUCAAAAUUAAUUCAGUCGUUGGACUGGAUUAAAAUUAAUUCACCUCAAUUUAAGUAGUGAUUCAUUCGUAUGAGAUAUCAUUUCAAAUCCUCCAAUUUGGACUGGACUAGAUUUCAUGACUCAUGUCCUCGCAUUUUGAUUCAGUCCUCGGCUUCGCCUCGACUUGAAAUCUAGUCCAGUCCUCAUAGACGGAUUUGAAAUAUUACAUCAGUCUUCUUCAUAGUCGGAUCUGAAAUAUUUCAUGAAUACGUGAGCGGUGAAAAAAGGCCCAAAAGACUGACUUGUAACAAGUCUAGGUGCAAUUGUGCUCCAAGAAAAAGUUUAUUUUUUAUUUUUGAAUUACUUGGAAGGUGAUUCUUCUUUCCCACACUUUUUAAAAGUGAAAAAUGAAAUCCAACUAUUCGCCUCGCUUUUCCCUAUAGACAGCCCUGAGAAGGGGCACUAUAUAUAUGCCAGCUUGUGGUGUACAAAUAGACAUAGAAAUAUCCCGUAGUGGCUAAAUUGCUGCCGUCGUGAAUCAGAUUUUUAGUCAUUUCGUGACCAAACAAUCUGAACUUAAGUAUCAAUAUGAUAUGACUAUCAUGCAAUAUCAGUUUUUUUUUAAGGAGAGGUGUGUUUUAUAUAAUUAGCGUUUUCUAACACCUGCAUUUGCAACACCAGAAUGCAAUUUACAUGUGACAAUCAAUGCUUAGCUCGCAGGGUAGUGACAAUCAGGGCCGUGGCGACCAGGGUGGGGGGUAUUACACCCCCCAAUAAUCGUGGAUAAUAUAUUUCAGGUAAAUGUCAGAUAAAUUUGAUUGAAAAUUCAGGUAACAAUCGUGUCUGAAAUCAGGGAAGAAAUCUAGAGUCGGUAAAGUGCCACUUUCAGCAUUUUGGCGGCUGUUUUAAUGUGUUUUGAUGCCAUUUUAUAACAACCAUUUAACACAUCACACAACUCCAUUUAAUUUAACACAACUCCGACACAAUCACAAACGAAUCCAGAACAUUUAAAACAUAGGAAGAUUUAAUGCAUAUGCUUUUCCUCGUCAGAAUGUUUCCAAGGGGGCCCAAUAUUUUGUAAGGGGACUGUGGGCAUGUCCCGAUCGUGCUCAUAAAAUCCCAAAAAGUUGCUAACUAGAACCAAAAAGUUGCUAUCUAAAAAGCAUUAAAGUUGCUCAAAAAUGGCCCGAAAUAAAAAAAUAAAGUAUAAAAUUCAAAAAUUUGUUCGUACUCAUUAGACAUCACGUUAAUUUCACGACAUACGUUAAUUAAAAACUUUAUACAAUUUCUGCAGCCUCAGUGCAGGCCCGGAUAAAUUGUUUGGAAUUAUAAACAGAAAACGUUUUCCUUACAAAAGUUUAACAAAUGACAAAAUAAAAGUCAUACAAAGUUGACAUUCAGCUGAGCAAUAUGAGAUUACUUGGAGUAAAUCGUCUGAUUCAAGUACAAAGUAACGUCACAAAUUUUAUGGUUUCAUAUCUCUGCGUUCUAAUAUUAAUGAUUUCUAGUCUGGAGUCCGAUAACUCCGUGUCUCAUGUCAUAUACAACGUUUAUAUAAAAUAUAAAAUAUAAAUGAUAAUAUAAGAAUACAAUAACUACAAUAAAUAUCACACAUAUUGUGCCUUUAUCAGUGCCUUGAUGAUGAAACUAACAAGUCUGACAGCAGAGGCCGUGGAAGCAUUUCGAAAGUGGAGGGGCAUUGGCCAAAAGGGGCACUUUUGUAUAUGAUCAAAAUCAAACGAUUUUAUGUCGUUCACGAGCCCACCCUCCCGCGUAUUCCCGCCAUUCUUGUCGCGCAGUGAACCUAAUGUUUGUUCAGAGUUAAAGGACAUUUACCAAACUGUUUUGCUCAGUGUCAAAGACUACAAAUUUUGUUCAAAAUGUGGAGUAAUAUAAUGCAUAUGUGUGUGUUUUUUAACACCAAAAAUGUCUAAAAAACUGUCUGACAAAGAAGCUGUUCGAAACUCAUUAAAGUUGCGUUUUGAACAAUUCAACUUCAGAUUUUACUGAUUUUUAACCCCUUUUCUUCAGUAUCUAGUCCUUGCAUUUGCUGAUACAUGGCCUUGAAUUUGACUCUCCCUCGCAUGUUCGAAACCUGUAUAAAUCUAACCUCGAUCAUUCAACUAGUCAACUGUG
Non-coding RNA from Paramuricea clavata, 2980 nucleotides. NCBI's taxonomy places the organism in Eukaryota, Metazoa, Cnidaria, Anthozoa, Malacalcyonacea, Plexauridae. The record is from the annotation of a GenBank genome assembly.